UGGUGGGAUAAGGUUGAAGACACAGCUUUUCUCCUUUCUUACCACCAGCUAUCUUGCAAGGACAUCAGGCGAGGAUGGGAAAACGCUGAUUGGAGAUGAGAACAGUUCAGACUGACCUCUAGAUCACAGGCCCUAAAUUCCAGAGGGGUGUGUCUGUGUGCAUUCUCUUCUCUUUUCUGACAGGGAAAACUGAUGAUGAUAUUUAGAAGGACUUGUUUGUCUCCCACUUGAAGGGUAGAUAAGAUGCUGUUCUUUGAAGUGAGCUGAGAGAGUGUAAGUGAAAGAGAGAAGACCUUAAACCCGGGAAAUAGACUGUGAAAAGACAAUCCUUUGCUGAAAGAUGUCUUCUGGUUAAAGUGUCAUCCAGUUCAAGAUCAGGUUAAAAAUAAUGAAAGAUCAGAAGGAAGGACAGAAUUUUUGGAGUUGUCUGUCUUCUGGACAGCAGAGACACUCCUGCAACAUGAAGAAUCUCAGGAAGAUCCAAUAAACAAGUUGGGCUGGUUGCACAUAACUCUAGUUGCCUUCAGACCCAAUACCCUUGGGGGGUCUGAACUUGUAGAAGGCAUCACCAAAUAUCCUUGGCUGAAUUUCCACCAGUCUCAAGCAGAAUGUAAGAGGGAAUGGUGUACUAAUGAAAGGAUACUAUUCCUGCUCCACAAUGGAAAUAAAAUCUUGUGAUUCUACCAUGAUGCCAAUUUGUCUGGCCACUUCAAAUUUCUAAAGACUGUUGCACUCAAUACACAGUUCCUACUGGAACUUUGAACAUUGUCAAGGCCUAUCCUACUUGCCCCUUCUUGAAAUGGGCACUGGAUAAGACUUUUGCAACUUUUGCCAACUCCACAACACAUAUAGAC
Molecule: long non-coding RNA, 854 nt
Filed under: Salvator merianae (Argentine black and white tegu)
Lineage: Eukaryota; Metazoa; Chordata; Lepidosauria; Squamata; Teiidae
Description: lncRNA (ENSSMRG00000012127.1)
Source: RNAcentral